AGCUUAUGCCAAUUUAAAAUAAUCCUGACUCUGGGGCAUUAUUCUGUUUUUCUUUUCAGAAAUGCUGUUCAACAAGCCAGGUUACCACCACGGAGGUCUGACUUCCUUCUGGAGUCUCUAGAAAGCAAGGAACUGCUGGGCCCUCCUUUUGCUAGGUCAGAGGUGCCCUUUCAGCAAACAUCUGUGAAAAAUUGUUCUGCACAGACUGGGAACUUACUGCAGACACCUCACCUGGAGGAAAGCACCUGUAAAUGUCUGUCUCAGACAGGCAGUGCUGCUCAUUCCCAUCCCGUUCCCUCUCUCCCACGUGCUGCUCUCCCCUCUCCCCCACUGUGGACAGCAGAUGUGCCCCGUGCUGGGCAGGGCCCACAGCUCUGGUCUCCUGCCUCUUUCAUGCCCCAAAUGAAAGCUGGGUCAGAGAAGAGAGGAGAUCAGCCUGGGAGUGGUCACAAAGGAGCCCAUUCCCAAGAGUCCCAACAGAACUCAGUGGGGAAGUUGCGACCAAAUUUGCAGCCACAUCUGCUGUCACCUGAAGAGUUGGUGGCACAGUGGAGUCACCAAACUGCAGCUGAAGGGGAAGAGAGGGAGCAGCACAGUUCCAGAGAAGAAAUGGUGUUGCAGAGAAAGGUGGAGGUUGAACUCCAACACAUCCAGCAGCAGAUGCAGUACUACUACAGCAGGAAGCUGGAGCUCAAGUCCUGUCAGCAGCAGGCACAGAUUCUGCAGCAGUGGCUGGAACUGAGCUCAGGACCAGGAGCCCGAGCUGGUGUGCAAGGAGUUCAGGAAGAGCUGGGUCAGCUGCAGGGGAGGAUCAACACCCUGAGCGCAGCCCAGCUGACGGACAGACAGCGUGUGCAGAGCCUGCUCGCCCGCCUGCGGGAGAUCCAGCUUGCCCUGGAUCUAUAAUGCCUCUGAUCCAACUUUCCAGCUCAGGG
This 935-nucleotide long non-coding RNA is filed under the name Lepidothrix coronata (blue-crowned manakin). RNAcentral's name for it is "lncRNA (ENSLCOG00000015000.1)". The record is from RNAcentral. Lineage: Eukaryota; Metazoa; Chordata; Aves; Passeriformes; Pipridae.